AUGAACGCUGGCGGCGUGCUUAACACUUGCAAGUCGAACGAAGCACUUUAUUUGAUUUCCUUCGGGACUGAUUAUUUUGUGACUGAGUGGCGGACGGGUGAGUAACGCGUGGGUAACCUGCCUUGUACAGGGGGAUAACAGUUGGAAACGGCUGCUAAUACCGCAUAAGCGCACAGCAUCGCAUGAUGCAGUGUGAAAAACUCCGGUGGUAUAAGAUGGACCCGCGUUGGAUUAGCUAGUUGGUGAGGUAACGGCCCACCAAGGCGACGAUCCAUAGCCGACCUGAGAGGGUGACCGGCCACAUUGGGACUGAGACACGGCCCAAACUCCUACGGGAGGCAGCAGUGGGGAAUAUUGCACAAUGGGCGAAAGCCUGAUGCAGCGACGCCGCGUGAGCGAAGAAGUAUUUCGGUAUGUAAAGCUCUAUCAGCAGGGAAGAUAAUGACGGUACCUGACUAAGAAGCACCGGCUAAAUACGUG
This 480-nucleotide ribosomal RNA is filed under the name uncultured bacterium. Its description in RNAcentral is "partial 16S ribosomal RNA". It matches the Rfam family "Bacterial small subunit ribosomal RNA", at positions 29 to 507 of the family's 1533-position model. The record is from RNAcentral.